ACAGCAAGUUGUAGAAUGGCCACUAAUUCUGACAGCUGCUCCAUGCUCGUGGUUUCUUAGGCAUUCACACCCAAUCCUAAUGAACUGUGUCUGUGGCCUGACAGGAGUGUUCUCACAUGUCACUGGCACCUUGGGUGGGGGCAGCUGGCGAGGGCACGGAGGAGGACUUCGGGUCUCAGUACUCCUACACGAGCACUUUCUUGAUCUGAAGUUCAGUGUCCCCUUAUAAGAACAAGGAUAAAGAUAUUGCUCUUACACAGAAUAGAGACACACAGUAGGUCCUGGAAAAAGUCACGCCUCCCUAAGUUAAUAAAAGGGCCUUUGGCUGUCUCCCUCUGUUUCCUAUGUAAAUCUUUGAUCCCUGACUCCUCAUUCCUCACUACGUCAUCACUGCAAGGAGCUGGAUUGUUGCUAGAUACCCGUUGAAGGCAGGACAGCCCCUGUCUGUCCCAGAGGAUCUAUGGGAGUGGCAUUCAGUACCUGCUUGAUCAAUAUCUCGGGAGGCACAAGAGAGAUUCUUUUUACAUAUUGUAGAUAUAGCUACCAGAAAAUUUUAAUAUAGAUGCCUAAAUAAUUAGGGGCAGAAGAGGAAAUUCUACUGAAAUUACAAGCAACUUUAGGAAUGAAGGAAAAUAUCAUCAUAGCACUGAGAAAAUUGGAUAUAUGUAAAAUGAUACUCAGAGGAUAGGUCAUGGCUUUUAAAAUCCUAAUGAGAAAGAUGGUUUUAAAGUGGCGUAUCCUUAUAACCAAGAAGCUAUAGCACAAAUACUAAAGUGACCACCCCUCAAAAGUGGAACAAAGGAUUAGCAGAUUUUAAUAUAUUUUAAUAAGGUACCAUCUAUGAGAUAGGAAGAAAUUCACAAAACAGCAUUUGAAAUUAAGAUAUAUAUAUGGAAAAACAUCCUGUCUGAAGGCUUAAAAUAUAAACACAUACCAUGUUCAAUUUCAUUACCAUACAUUUGCUGAUUGAUAUUUUAAAAUGGAUGAUUUUUGUAGGUAAACAUGAAUUCUAGCAUCUACUGAAAGGAGAUAAUUAUAGAAAUGUUUAAAAGUUAGUCAGUGUUAGUCAUAAGCUUGGAUCAUCAGGGAACAGAUAAUUUUGGAGUUGUAUCACUUCAUUUACAGCACAGCAUAAAACUGGUUGCUUCUCUCCUCAUCUGGGAGGAUGGUAUGAGCACAUGCUCAUACCACAGUAGACAAAACAUACCAUGAGGAGUGCAAACAAAUGAUCCGUCACAGUUAUAAAACCCUAAGCGAGGCAUUAGCAAUGUAGAUCCAUUUAUAUAUUAAAAGACUAAUGCGUCUUAACUAGGUAGGGUUUAUCUUUGAAAUGACCACAUGUUUCAACAUUAGGAAACCUGUCAGCCUGAUUCAUUUGAUCAAGAACUAGGGGAAAAACUCAAUUCUGAUAGAUUUAGAAAAAUAUGACACAUAAUCUAACAAAGAUCCACUGACGAUGAAAAAGAAACAACCAAACAGAAGUCUAUCCAAACCCAGCUCCUUGUGAAUGAAAGAAGGAAACUCUACACAAACUCCAAACUCUCUGGUUUAAAAUCAGAAGGAAAAAAAAAGACAGUGGCAACUCAACCUUUCAAUGAUGAGAAGAAAUAACGAAAAGAAAGAAAACACAGUUCUUGAAAGGGGGAGGUAGAAAUUGCUCUUACUUGUAGAAAUUAUAGCUUUCUUGUUUUUUAGAAAACCCAUGCAAAUCAACUGUAACAUUAUUUGAACUAAUGAGAAUUCAGCAAAUUGUACAGAUUCCAUUCUUCAUUAAUAAGCAAUUGUGAACAUUCUAUGAGGUUAAAACAGAUAGCAUUUACUGAUUGGGAUGUCCUUCUGUAUAUAUGUUUCUCUUAUUGGUUGAUGAAUAAAACACCGAUUGGUCAGUAGCCAGGCAGGAAGCAUAGGCAGGAUGCUGGGGAGAAGAGGCAGAGAGAAGCUGCCAAGGAGACGCUAUACUACUGAAGGAGUAACACGCUGGAUUAUGGCUAAGCCACAGCCUCAUGGCAAUACAUAGUUUAAUAGAAAUGGGUUAAUAAUUAAGAGAGAGCUAGCUAGUAAGAAGCCUGAGCCAUUGGCCAAACAGUUUAUAAUAAAUAUGUCUCAAUGUGCUUAUUUGGGGCUAAUCAGCUUCAGGUCAGGCAGGAAAGAAACUCUGUCUACAAUUUACUCAACUCUAAGCCACACAGGGCUAAGCUGAAUAAAAAUCUUUAUGAACAAUUGAUUCUGUUAUUAAUGGGGAGGGCCUAACUAGGUAAGAUGUGCCCCAUUUGCAACAUUUACCCAAUAACUCUCCAUCAAGAUCAUGAGUCAAAACCAUAUCUGUCAAAUUUUAAAAUAAAAGUUUUACUUACCUGUCAAAA
Mesocricetus auratus (golden hamster) is the source of this 2363-nucleotide long non-coding RNA. RefSeq lists it as uncharacterized. The transcript has 2 exons. NCBI's taxonomy places the organism in Eukaryota, Metazoa, Chordata, Mammalia, Rodentia, Cricetidae. The record is from RefSeq and is a predicted model, not a curated record.